CAAAUCGCGUCGCAAGGCGCGACUGAACCGGCAGGAGUCAGCAGAGGUCAUAGUACCGGUGAAUGACGUCAGAAACCGGGAAGGGC
This 86-nucleotide non-coding RNA is filed under the name Heliophilum fasciatum. Lineage: Bacteria; Bacillati; Bacillota; Clostridia; Eubacteriales; Heliobacteriaceae. The record is from RNAcentral.